RNAcentral lists this long non-coding RNA (671 nucleotides) under Physcomitrium patens. Its description in RNAcentral is "long non-coding RNA (PPAT_LNC003983)". Lineage: Eukaryota; Viridiplantae; Streptophyta; Bryopsida; Funariales; Funariaceae. The record is from RNAcentral.
AACUAGAUGAUGUUAUUACAUAUACAACUUUUAAAGAAGCAUAUUGUAUAGAUGUAGUAAUUAUAUUCAAAUGAGAAUUUAAACAUUUUAGAUUAAAUUGUCAUAUAUAAUCUAUCAAGCUUAUUUAGUUUAGUUUAGUUUUUUUAUUUUAUUUUAUUCUAUUUUUUUCUCAAAACAUUCUAUGUUGUCCUCCAAUGAUUUAUUCAUGCAUGUGCAAUAUAAAAUAUCAAGUCACCUGUAUACUAAUGUAAAUUUUAGGAUAAUUUUGAAGAGAAUGUCUUUAUUCUUUUAUUUUUUUACAAGAGUUUCAUUGAAGUGAAGAUAAUUCCCUACAAUACCAAUAUAUUUUGGCCAUUACAAAAUUCUUAUUUAUCCAUAAUAAAAUUGUUACCUUUUAAAGAUAUAAGAAGGUAGCAAAGGAAGACAGCUUUAGAUAGAAUCCCCUACUUUCAGGCACACUUUUUAUGUCCUUUAUUAAUACUCUUUCAAAAUUAUGUUCCAACAUCAUCUUAUUCUAAUAUAUAGUUAUAUUGUUUUUACUAGCUUCUACAUUGAUACUCUCUUAUGGACUUUUCAAUUCUACAUUGAAUUUUUCCUCACCCACUCUCCACUUUAACACCCCUUAUAAUUAUAAUUAUAAUUAAGCUCAAAAUAUUCACAAUAAUAAACUC